RNAcentral lists this ribosomal RNA (253 nucleotides) under uncultured bacterium. RNAcentral's name for it is "partial 16S ribosomal RNA". It matches the Rfam family "Bacterial small subunit ribosomal RNA", at positions 524 to 776 of the family's 1533-position model. The record is from RNAcentral.
UACGUAGGGGGCCAGCGUUGUCCGGAAUCAUUGGGCGUAAAGAGCGUGUAGGCGGCCCGGUAAGUCCGCUGUAAAAGUCAAAGGCUCAACCUUUGAAUGUCAGUGGAUACUGCCGGGCUAGAGUCCGGAAGAGGCGAGUGGAACUCCUGGUGUAGCGGUGGAAUGCGCAGAUAUCAGGAGGAACACCGGUGGCGAAGGCGGUUCUCUGGGCCUUACCUGACGCUGAGGAGCGAAAGCGUGGGGAGCGAACAGG